GACGAACGCUGGCGGCGUGCUUAACACAUGCAAGUCGAACGGAAAGGCCCUGCUUUUGUGGGGUGCUCGAGUGGCGAACGGGUGAGUAACACGUGAGUAACCUGCCCUUGACUUUGGGAUAACUUCAGGAAACUGGGGCUAAUACCGGAUAGGAGCUCCUGCUGCAUGGUGGGGGUUGGAAAGUUUCGGCGGUUGGGGAUGGACUCGCGGCUUAUCAGCUUGUUGGUGGGGUAGUGGCUUACCAAGGCUUUGACGGGUAGCCGGCCUGAGAGGGUGACCGGCCACAUUGGGACUGAGAUACGGCCCAGACUCCUACGGGAGGCAGCAGGGGGGAAUAUUGCACAAUGGGCGGAAGCCGGAGGCAGAAACGCCGCGUGCGGGAUGACGGCCUUCGGGUUGUAAACCGCUUUCGCCUGUGACGAAGCGUGAGUGACGGUAAUGGGUAAAGAAGCACCGGCUAACUACGUG
Molecule: ribosomal RNA, 468 nt
Filed under: uncultured bacterium
Lineage: Bacteria
Description: partial 16S ribosomal RNA
Rfam family: Bacterial small subunit ribosomal RNA
Source: RNAcentral